RNAcentral lists this small RNA (1017 nucleotides) under uncultured Actinoplanes sp. RNAcentral's name for it is "bacterial SSU rRNA". The stretch from base 1 to 473 matches the Rfam family "Bacterial small subunit ribosomal RNA", at positions 1064 to 1533 of the family's 1533-position model. The record is from RNAcentral. Lineage: Bacteria; Bacillati; Actinomycetota; Actinomycetes; Micromonosporales; Micromonosporaceae.
GUCGUGAGAUGUUGGGUUAAGUCCCGCAACGAGCGCAACCCUCGUCCAAUGUUGCCAGCGGGUAAUGCCGGGGACUCAUUGGAGACUGCCGGGGUCAACUCGGAGGAAGGUGGGGAUGACGUCAAGUCAUCAUGCCCCUUAUGUCUUGGGCUGCAAACAUGCUACAAUGGCCGGUACAAAGGGCUGCGAACCCGUGAGGGUAAGCGAAUCCCGGAAAGCCGGUCUCAGUUCGGAUCGGGGUCUGCAACUCGGCCCCGUGAAGCCGGAGUCGCUAGUAAUCGCGGAUCAACAACGCCGCGGUGAAUACGUUCCCGGGCCUUGUACACACCGCCCGUCACGUCACGAAAGUUGGCAACACCCGAAGCCGGCGGCCUAACCCGUAAGGGAGGGAGCUGUCGAAGGUGGGGUUGGCGAUUGGGACGAAGUCGUAACAAGGUAGCCGUACCGGAAGGUGCGGCUGGAUCACCUCCUUUCUAAGGAGCACCGGCGCCGACCGGCAGCGAACGACUGCUGCGGCGUCCAUGCUUUCUAGUGGAGCACUGGCUAUUCGGUAUCUCUUCUUACCGCUGUCCGGCUAGUACGCUCUCCCCUCGGGGAAUUGCGGAACGAGGAGCGGGCGGGAGGCGGGGUAUCGAGCACGCUGUUGGGUCCUGAGGAAGCAGCCGCUUCGCUUAGGGCGCCUACCUCGGCGAGUACUCUUAUUUUGCCGUCGCUGGAAGGGUAACUCCUUCCUCCAGCGCAAAAUUAGAGUGCUUGACACGGCCUGCGAACGGGGAUCUCCGGAUGGAGGUCCCUGACGCAUGGUUCCGUCCGUAACUUGAGAACUACACAGUGGACGCGAGCAUCUUCUGGACCGGGCCCUUUGGGUCCGAGUCUGUAGCAGUUUGCAUGUAGUGCAUGCAGUGUCAAGUUUUUAAGAGCAUACGGUGGAUGUCUUGGCACCAGGAGCCGAUGAAGGACGUUGGAGCCUGCGAUAAGCCUCGAGGAGCCGGCAACCGGGCUGUGAUUCGAGGAUUU